CUAUAAGUCAGCAAGAGCAAGCCCUGCUGCUUCUUUCGGCGGGAUUUGCGGGCACUAAAAUAUAGGCCGCGGAAGAGCCUCAGAGCCGGGUUCCAGAACGUCUCCUCUUUGGGAGUGGAGUGGAAACGCUGAAGAUGCAGCCAGCUCAGUGUCCAGUUUCCUUCGAGGAGGUGGCCGUGCGUUUCUCAAAGGCCGAGUGGGCGCUGCUGAACC
This is a long non-coding RNA of Gekko japonicus, 213 nucleotides long. RefSeq lists it as uncharacterized. The record is from RefSeq and is a predicted model, not a curated record. The transcript is spliced from 3 exons. NCBI's taxonomy places the organism in Eukaryota, Metazoa, Chordata, Lepidosauria, Squamata, Gekkonidae.